CCUACGGGGGGCUGCAGUGGGGAAUUUUGGACAAUGGGCGCAAGCCUGAUCCAGCAAUGCCGCGUGCAGGAUGAAGGCCUUCGGGUUGUAAACUGCUUUUGUACGGAACGAAACGGUGAGCUCUAAUACAGUUUGCUAAUGACGGUACCGUAAGAAUAAGCACCGGCUAACUACGUGCCAGCAGCCGCGGUAAUACGUAGGGUGCGAGCGUUAAUCGGAAUUACUGGGCGUAAAGCGUGCGCAGGCGGUGAUGUAAGACAGAUGUGAAAUGCCCGGGCUCAACCUGGGACCUGCAUUUGUGACUGCAUCGCUAGAGUACGGUAGAGGGGGAUGGAAUUCCGCGUGUAGCAGUGAAAUGCGUAGAUAUGCGGAGGAACACCGAUGGCGAAGGCAAUCCCCUGGACCUGUACUGACGCUCAUGCACGAAAGCGUGGGGAGCAAACAGGAUUAGAUACCCCAGUAGUC
RNAcentral lists this ribosomal RNA (465 nucleotides) under uncultured bacterium. RNAcentral's name for it is "bacterial SSU rRNA". It matches the Rfam family "Bacterial small subunit ribosomal RNA", at positions 338 to 795 of the family's 1533-position model. The record is from RNAcentral.